Caenorhabditis elegans is the source of this 140-nucleotide non-coding RNA. NCBI's taxonomy places the organism in Eukaryota, Metazoa, Nematoda, Chromadorea, Rhabditida, Rhabditidae. The record is from Ensembl.
CUCAAAUGCUGUAUCGUAAUGAUAGGUGUGGAACCAUGUGAGAAGACAAUCAACUCCAUCGGGAGCGAUAAAAGUGUUGAAUGAGAAGGAGGAUGAAUGAGGAGAAGGAUGAGGAUAAGAUUGUAUUGUGAUAAACAUUC